Long non-coding RNA from Bos taurus (domestic cattle), 604 nucleotides. The record is from Ensembl. Lineage: Eukaryota; Metazoa; Chordata; Mammalia; Artiodactyla; Bovidae.
GUAUAACAAAGAGAUUAAAAACGUAGUGCCUGAAAAUAGGAGAGACACACAGAAUACUCAAUGUUGUCAAGAUGUCUGCUUUCCCAACCUGAUCUAGAGAUUCAGUGCAAUACCAAUCUUGGAAAAAGAAUUGUGGGAUUUGAACGUUUGAUCCAUCUGGAUUUUAUUUUGGUGUUAAGCGUGAGCCAACUUCUACUUUUCCAAAUGGCCGGCCAGUCGUCCUAACGUCGUUUGAUUGAAAAAAGACUGAAAAACCUUUUCCGGGGUUUGAAGAGACCACUCCACCAGCACGCUUCAAGCUAGCGCGUUUGCCGGGGCCCGCGCGGUCCAAGGACCCCUCGCCGCCAGGUUUCCGCGGCCCAUCUGCCCGGCCAGAUCCAGUCGGAGGAGGCGAAGGGAAGGUGGUGGAGUGGAUAUUCCGCUGCUGAGAACUAUUCCACUCCUACCAGCCGCCGACCGACCACUAACCCCCUUUUCCCACCCUUGCGCUCAGGACAAACCCCAGACACCACUACCGCGACUUCACCUCCACCCUCCGAGGACAAAGCCCCCUGACCCACGUCGAGGAAGUCUCUCUUACCUCCCAUCUCCUCCCUCUCAGCUC